Molecule: non-coding RNA, 14335 nt
Organism: Solanum lycopersicum (tomato)
Lineage: Eukaryota; Viridiplantae; Streptophyta; Magnoliopsida; Solanales; Solanaceae
Source: RefSeq, a predicted model, not a curated record
CCUUAAUUGAUUAUUUCUAUAUGUUGAUGUAUGGGCCGUGUCCCAAGUAUUUUGUGUCUACGCUUUGAUGAGAUUGAGACUUAGUAAUAUUUCUUAUGACUUUUAUAUGAAAGCGUUUUUAAAGACUAUAGAAUGUUUAUGAAAGUUUUAAUUCCGCAAUACUUUUCAUAUGUUUUAUAUGCGAUGAACGAUAUGGAAGGGCUUCUACAAGACCUUCGAGAGGUCAAGUACGCUGGUUGCAUUCCGAGAAUGACAUAUCUUCUAGGGUGUGGUUUCGAGAUGUGAUAAGAUUGGUAUCGAUCAUAGGGUAUGAAAGUUGUCUUAGGAAUCAAAAAGACUUAUCAAGUCACUUCUAGUAGAGUGCUGACCAUCAGUGUCUGUCAUUACACAUAUAUGGGCGAGAGUCUAUAAGACGAUACAAUUUUCUUUCUUUUCUACUCCUAAUUCGUGUCGUAGAGUAAAAGUUAUUUUUACUCUUUUCUAAUGGUUUUCCUUGUGUUUCUACGAAGAUGAAUACGAGAAAGAUACCGUCUAGGAGAGUUGAGAAGAAUGAUAAGCAUAAGGAGAUUUCUCCUAGAGUUGAGCAAGUUCCUCAAGGUGUUCAAGUUGCCCAAGUACCUCCCCAAGGUGAUCAAGUCCCUAAUGUGGAAGGAGGUAAUGAUUUUCCGGUGGUUCCCCCGGAGUUGAGUAAUAGUGAUAUUAGAGAGGCUUUGCUUGCCUUAGCCCGAGACAUAACUACUCAAGCGAAUUUGAAUAUGGUGCCUAGGGUGAAUGUUGAGAGAGAACUAUUACGUCUAGGUUGAGAGACUUUGUGAGGAUGAAUCCUCCUAUCUUUCAAGGCUCUAAGGUGGGAGAGGAUUCCUAAGAGUUUCUAGAUGGUGUAUACAAGGUGUUGAGUUUUAUGGGGGUUAUGUUAAGGGAGAAGGCGGAGUUAGGUUCGUAUCAAUUAAAGGAUGUUUCUCAAGUGUUGUACACUGAAUGGAUGGAUUAGGCCGGUAGAGUCGGGUCCUAUUGACUGGGAAGAAUUUGAGGAAGCUUUUCUUGGAAAGUACUUUCCCUGUGAGAGGAGGGAAGUUUAUGUAGAAGAGUUUAUCAAUCUCAAGCAAGACAAUAUGAGUGUUGAGGAAUACUCUUUUAAGUUCGCAAUGUUAUCUAGAUUGUCCCAUCACUUGUAUCUAAUACAAGGGAUGAUAUGAGUAGAUUUGUGAUUGGUGUCGCCGAUCUAGUGAGGAAAGAAUGUCGUACGACCAUGUGACAUGAUGAUAUGACGUUACCUAGACUCAUGCAGUAUACACAAUCAAUAGAAGAGUCUAAACUUGGGAGGAUUUCUAGGAAUUUGAAAAGAAGUGAUUCAAGUAAUCAAGGUCAACUUAGAUUCAAGAAUAGGGCUCAAGGUCAAAAAGAACCUAGGAGUGCUAAGGUGAAAUUAGAGAAAGGAGGUGGUUCUCAAAAUGGAAAACCUACACGUGACACUUGUGAAAAUAAGCACUAUGGGGAAUGCUUAAGGGGUACCGUGAGUUGCUUUGGUUGUGUUAAAGAAGGACAUCAGUUGGGAGUUUGUCCUACUAUUGAGGCUAGAGAAAGAAAGGGUAAACAAGUUUCUCCCAAUGUUCCAAAGGAUGAUGCUCCAAAUAACAGGUGUUCCUAUGCACUCUGGACUAUAAAGAUCAAAGACGGAUGAGGAUGAGGAAUGAUGGUAAGUUUUUGUGUUUCUUUAGUGAUAUGAGUUCCUUAUAAGUGGGGGAGUAUGGGGAGUAAAGGAGUUUUGAUUUGUUGUUUCAUCUUUUCUAUUCAACUCAAGCUGUAGAGUAGAAAGUCAUAGAAGUAUGUUGCAUGUUGCAUUGUUGUUAGGGGUCUUGCUGAAAUUGAAUUUCAUUGAUUCCUUGCAUUGUGCAUUUGAUGAAGUUAUGAUUAUGUUGUAAGGUGUAUUUAUGUGGUUAUACAUUGUAUAUUAGCAUGUUUCUAUCAUGAAUUGCUUAAAAGUUGCACUUUUUGAAAUAUUUGCAUUAUUCGUUGUAGCUUGAAAGUUCACUUUGAGAAUUUCGUAAAUUUGACUAAUUUAUUUUUUGGUCUAAAAUUGUUGUAGUAUGGUUAGAACUGAUUUAUAUGAGAAUUAUAUUGAUUAUAAAAUGAGGUUUUACUAUUUGGAAUGAAGGAUGUGAGUUUUAUAACAUAAUGAGUUGUAGAUUUGUUUCUAGUUUCAUGUUGGUGUUGUGAUGCUCUUGAUUUUGUGAAAUUGAUGUUUUCUUGAUGUUUGAAUUGUAUAUGAUGUUAUAUGGUAUGGUCAUGAUCUGUUAAGUUGAAUCUCUUUCUUGAAAAUGUUCGGAGAGUGGUUAAGUUUCAUUCGAGGAUGAAUAUUGUCCAAGUGUGGGAGAAUGUAAGAUCUCGAAAAUGGCUUAGGUGAAGCUAGAGCCUUACAUAGUUGUAAUGAUGGUCUAAGUUCCUAAAGUUAUCUUUAAUGUGGUAUUUAGGUAGUGUCUAAAGUUUUUCUUGCAUUUUAAGUCAAACGUCAAGGGACGACUAAGACGUUCGACGACUAAGUAACCUGUGUGCCUCAUAUGCAAUUAUCUACCUAAUUAUGUGUUUCAUUAGUUAAUUAAGGCUCUUUAAUGAAUUAUUAUGGUGUUUAUUGCCAGUGUGUCAAGUUUCGUGAAUUUUGGAGGUCAAAAAUCCAAGAACGUCCAUGACUUUCAAAAGACUUGCCCUGAAAUGACCUUAUGUGUCUAUGCAUGUUUUGUUGAGUUUUACGUGUUCGUUUUGGAUGAAAUGGAUGUGGUAGGUCCUAAACUUGUAUACGAGCAUGUUUGGGUUGCAAACGCGGUGAAAAUAUCCCCAAGGACCAUCCAAGGGUCCUUGAGGAAGGACCCACGUUGGUGGCCAGGACUGCCCAAGACUGCCCAAACCACGGAGGUAAUCAAUGCCCAGUAGGUCAGUCGACUCCCCUUAGGUGAGGUAUCGUAGAUGAACACAUAGGCAUGGGGAAGGAGAGGCCAAAGACCAGCCUUAGUCCCAGACCACAGACCAGCAAGACAGUAUGUUGGUCAAGGGACGGGCCUAAAUUCGCCCCACAAUCAAAUAAGAUUUAGGGAGGUUACUUAGGGGUGUUUUGGGUAUUUUAAAUAUGUUUAUAAGUCUAAAAUACUUAGAAGAUUUCAUUCUUUAAAAUCAAAACCGAAAAACCCUUCGAAAUUCUAUAGAACUCCAUUGGAGCAAAAACUCAAGGAAGGGCUUAGAUUGGAGAAUUGAGUGGAGAUUCUUCAUCAAAUUGGAGGAUUAUCUUUAUUGAGGUAAGAUUUUUUAUCCUUUAAACUCUAUUCAUCAAGGAGACCACCUUUCAAACAAGUUUUCUAAUAUUUUCAAAGACGAAUUGUCCAAUUUUAUGAUCUAUCCACGGGUUCUUCUAUUAAAUAUUUUAAAACAUUUUAUAUUGAUUGAAUUGUUGUUAAUUAGAUGAUUUUAUUUCAAUUAACCUAUAAACCCAUGUAAUUGAUGAACACUAGCUUUUGACUACUUAAUGGGUUAAGUGGUUUAGACUUAAUGUGUAUGAAUUCUACUGUAGUUUUCUAUGGACAUUUGAUUAGUGUAAUAAUUAUGUUGAAUUGAUGUCUAUGUUGUGUUAGAUUUAUGAAUAUUUAUUUAAUUGACCUAGUUUCAUUGAUUAUUAUAGUUCUAUAUUGAAUUAUUGGUUAUGGUCAUGGGUAAGGGCCUUAUUGUAUUGAAUUGGAUGGUUUAACAUUGGAUUGAAGUGUUGAGGAUGAAAUGGUGGUACACUGUCCUAAUUCCGUUUAUUUUAUGUUAAUUAGACUUCAAUUAUGUUUUGAUUUGCAUGGUCCACUUAUGGUGGCGGUGUUAUGUGUUUUACUUUGUCACACCCCAACCCUAGGUGAGAUGGACAAGUACCCUAUGAAUACAUGCUUUACAAGUAACCUACGAUGAGAAAGUAAACUAUUAUGCAGAUUACUGAUGAAAAACUUUAUAUACAACACAUAUUGACUAAAUAACCCAUACAUGUGACAAGUAAAACUAUGAAUACAGGUGAUUGAUAGGUUUACAAUGUCUACAAAGCCUCUAUUGGAAUCCAUGCUAUGAAAAUACGCUUAGUAAAGACUCGGCAAAGCCCCGAUUCAACUUGGAGCUCACCAACAACAAUUGACUAUCAUGUGAUUCUAUUGGGGAGAUCUACUUUUGAAUACUUUUACCCCGAUGUAACACUCCAUAUUCUACGUGAACUAGUUCUAUGUAUAUGUCGCUUAAAAAUUUCCUUCUGGUAUAGUCAUAGACUCUGUUUUCUAUGCGACUGGUGACAAUAAAAUAUGUUUGAAGUUGUAAUUCCUCGUGCCUUUUAUGACAUAUACAAAUAAUUGUUUUCCGUGUGAAUGGUGAUAAUAGAAUAUGUUUGAAGUUGAAAUACCUCGUGCCUUUCAACACAUAUCCGAAAAAUGGAGUCUAUAACUAUACCACAAGGAAUUUUUAAUCGACAUAUAGAUAGAACUAGUUCACGUAGAAUACGGGGUGUUACAUCGGGGUAAAAGUUUUCAAAAAUCAGAUCUCCCCAAUAGAAGCACAUGAUACUCAGCUGUUGUUGGUGAUAUCCAGGUUGAUUCAGGGCUUUGCCGAGUCUUUACUAUGCAUAUUUUCAUAGCAUGGAUCUCAAUAGAGGUUUUGUAGAUAUUGUAAAGCUAUCAAUCAUCUGUAUUCAUAGUUUUACAUGUCAUAUGUAUUGGUUCAACUAGUCAACAUGUGUUGUAUAUAAAGCUUUUCAUCAGUAAUCUGCAUAAUAGUUUACUUUCUCAUCAUAGGUUACUUGUAAAACCUAUAUUCAUAGGGUACUAGUCCAUCUCACCUAGGGUUGGGGUGUGAUAAAAGUGGUAUCAAAGUCAUCCUAGGGAGUCUACAAAGAUGUGUCUAGUAGUGACUUAGUUAUGAAUGUGUUGCGCGCCACAUUUAUAAUCAGGGGGCUGCUUUGAAAUUUAGAAAAGUUACCUUCCUUCAUUAUACUGAUCGUGCGAUAAAGCGAAGUUAAGAACCCAAUUUCCAGUUGUACCAAAUCGUGCUAUUCAUAUUAAUUAUGGUUACGGUUAAUGGUUGUUAAGGUGUCAACAUGUGACAUACAAAAAAGACAUCAAAUUAACAAAAGUUUUACUAGAUUGAGCUCAUUUUAUUCGACUAUAUCAGUUGUAAAAGAUUUUAUGUUACUUGCAUCUAAAGUUAUAUCGGUAAAAUUUGCAUCAUGUUGGUUAAAAAAUGAUUUGUUACCUACUUACAUAUAUUUGUUGUAGCAUUUCCAGGCCUAUCUGCUUAGGAGGAUGUAAUAAGCUCUUGAGUUCUAUAUUUCUUCCAUACUUACAGGAUCUAUUCCUAUAAAGGACACUUGUUCUUAGUCUUUGAUAUUACAUCGCAUUGUCAGCGUUACAUAUGUUCUCAAAAUUGAUGUAGUUAAACUAGUUUCUCAAUUUGUAGGUGGAUGUACCAGUGAAAUAGUGUUACUAGAGAUACCCCUAAUUGGUUGGCAAGGUUCAAAUUAUAACCGUAUGUCAUACCAAGUAUGUUAAUGUUUGACAUUUAUAUGGUUACCUAACGUCAUGGAAUGGCUACAUGCAAGAGUUGUCCGCUUCACAUCACCCUUGUUUAAUGAUGUUUUCAUAGGAACUUUUCCUUACAUGUUAUUUAUUGCACUGGUUACUUCCCACAUGCCACUUGUCCAUAUUGUACGGGUAAUGCAUGCUAAUUAAUCAUAUGACCAUUUCUACAUAUUUUGCAUACAAAGUUCCUACUUGCUCAAACACUUCAGGCUGUAUAGCUUUUCAGGCAAUGUCUUAUGUGCUGACUUACUCAUAUUUCAGAUUUGUGCUCAUUGACAUGUUAGUCUACUUAUCCAUGCAAUACAAUGCACUUGCUCAAUGUGAUUUAGGUUCUGUAGUUCAUUUUCUGAUAUGUCUACAUGUCAUAUCUACUACAUGUCUUAGCUUAUGUACUCAUGCAUUAUGUGAUCAUCUAGUCCAUUUGUACAUUCCCUAUAGUUCAUUCGCUCACACGAUACCCUAUAACUCAUAUGCACACGUACACCAUGUAUUUCUAUAGCUUAAUGAACGUAUACCUUGCGCUCUCCCUUUUGGGCUAGUCUACCUAUGUGCCAUGCCCAAUGUGACUUAUUCAUCCGUAUACUAUACCCCUCUCUAUGCUUAUUGAUUUCAGUUUUGAACAAUUUUGGAAUAUAUUUUCUUAUAUCAUCAUGUACUGAUAAUUUUGACCUGAAAAAGUUGGUCGUAUUUGUAAAUUUAAUCAACUAUAGAUAAAUAACUUAGCAUAAUACAAUAUUAGCAGGUGCGGCAUAAAACUUAGAUUUAUAUUUACAACUAUGCGUUCAUAAAGACUCCCCUCUGAAAAGCAUCAUGAAAUCAAAGAGAAAGGAAACUGUUGCCCCAAUAGCCUAUGAUUUUAUGUGUCCGUUCAUAUAUAAAAAAAUUGGGAGAAACUAUAGUUAUUCUUAAUUGUUAAGGCCCGGAAGCUAAGCUCAGAAUGUGUAACCAUAAGUAUUUGGGAAGGAAUAGAAUAUAACAUAAGAUACUUCAGAGUAGAACAUGGUAGAGAGAUACUAAGUAACCUCCCUCAUUCUAAACAUCAACAUAAGGAUCUAAGAUCAUGCGGUCCCCUUAUAUGAUCAUGAAUCCUACUAGAAUAUAUUCAUUUGUUGUGUCAUUUGCUGUGUCAUUUGUGUGUCUUGUAUUUAGGUAUAUUACAGUCCUUAUUUAUAUGAGUCCUACUUGUAUAUCUUUAGUGACUUACAUGGUAAAGAAGGGGUUUACUUUUCAUAGUACUAUUUCAUGAAUCAUAUAUAUCAAAACGUCAUGCUAGAUUUGUCUAUACAUAUUUUAGGUUAGUUUAUUGAUUUUAGAUAGUCCUGCCUAUUUACAAUAGGGAUUCUCAUAAAUCUCUAUAUGAAUUUCAAGUAUUAGCUGAACUACUAGGUGCACAUAUCAUUCGAGAGCGAAUGAUCAUAAGAGGGGGAGGAUGUAACACCCCGUAUUCUGCGUAUACUAGUCUUAUUUAUAUUAUGCUUAUUAACUGCCUUGUGGUAUAGUUAUGGAUUCGGUUUCAUAGGCAACUAAUGGCAAUAGAAUAGGUUUAAAGUAAAUUGUCCAUAGAUUUUGAUGCUAGCCAAUUAGUUGAUGUUGAUGGAAGUAUUUAAACUUGAGAUCAUGAAUUGGUAUCUAAGUGUAAAGUAUAAAGUGACGUAGUGUAUAUAAGUUCUAAGUUAUGUUAAAGUUAUUAAGGUCUGGAAAGGGAAUAAAAUAUUAAGGUGAUUGCUUGAUUUCAGUAAGAUAGUAGGUGACAAGUAGGUGCAUCACCUACUUUGACUUAUUGACCACACCAAGUAGGUGCAUCACCUACUUUGACUUAUUGACCACACCAAGUAGGUGCAUCACCUACUAAGACUCUUUUGACUGUGUUAUUGGGCAAAUUACACUACAACUAUUUGCAUUAAUUUAGCCCAAAUUCAAUAGAAGAAUAAGGGGAACAUGGAAAGCCAAGGACCAGUCUUCCCAAGCCCACAAGAAAUAUUUUUAAUGGAAAACUAGGUGCAUCACCUACUUAAAUGUGUUUCCCAAAUUAUAGAGACUUGUUGGCUGCAAAAGAAGUACAUGAAAGGUGGCAGAAGGGCCAAUAUUCUUAAGUCACAAAUGUUAAAAUGUUUCAACUAUGUGGGUCACAUACUUGACAAAUUAUGGCCCAAAAUGAGUGACAAAGUCGGCUAAAACAGGUCUCUUUAAAAGAGAUUGAUAUAAGCUUUUUUCAAACCAUUUUUACUUUUGAGAAAAAUAUUAUAUCUAGAGCUUUCUCUUCUCUCUCUUAGAUUCAUACAACAACCAUUAUAUACCAUUAGGUUUCUUGAAUAAUAGGUAUUUCAAGCUAUUGAAAGGUAUAAUUUGAGACAAGUUAAGGAGGACAACCUUUACCUUCAAGAAUUCAAGUUUUAGCAAGUGGUAGGUAUGUCCAGCAAGGUUAGCUACUGCAAUUUUCUCCCUCUUCUGCGUCAGUUAAUUAGGACACUUGGUAUGUGUUAGUGAGUUGGAAAUUGUUACUUUUACAUGAUGGAUAUUUUUGGGAGGAUUUUCUGCUUAUUAGUGCAUAUUGGGACAACUAUGGUGGGGAGUCCUCUUUAAAUUAAGAUAUGAGCUUAUUUGAACACUUUAAAAGCAAUGUUAGCUCUUCUAAUGCUGGUGAUCAGAAACCAUGAUUCAUAUUACUUCAAUUACAUUAUUAUGUUCAAAGAUCAUUUUAUGUUUGUUAUUAUAAGGGAUAUGACCGGAUGUGCGGGGAAGUAAUGGAGACAUUAAAGGUCAUAAAUAUUGUAGGGAGUUUUGAGGGGGACCUUCUAUGAAGGUUUUACAGUAUAUAGACGCGAUUAAUAGGAUAGGGAAGGAAAGAAAGCCCUGGCUAGAUAGAUUGCAGCUUACUGCUUCGUUACUAUUUAGGUGUGAUCAAGUCGCUCAAAUUGAUUGAGUAGCUACUAAUACUAGUCUUACAACUUAUUUCAUUGUAGAUUAGUGAUCUGAAGAGAAGGAGCUUAAGUCAUACGUUUUGAAUUCUUUAGGAAGGUAUGUAAGGCUAAUUGAUUUCCUAUUUCUUUGUCAUGAAUCAAAAACAUGCAUUACAUAAAGUAAGCUUUCUAAGUGCCCAUGGUAGUGACUGAUCCUUAGUUACAGUUCCUACUCCCUAGAGCAUUGAAAUGCGUACUCUAAUAUGAGUUUAUUACUAAAUGUGCGUGUUUACUCUACCAAGUGUUAGUAUGAAAGUUUAAACUUGUUUCAUUGUCAACACACCCUAGCACGUAUUUCCAUUAUAUAAGUCAAAGUGAUCGUAGAUUACACAUGGUAAAUAUAUUUAUAGGAUGGAUAUAUGAUCUGCCUAUAUUUUGCCAACUUGCUCCAAUUGUUUAUAGAUAUGCCAUAUUGUCACACGUUCAUAUGUUCCCUUCCUUGUUACUACACCCAUUGUUUUAGACAAUGAGGUUACCUUUGAUGAUCACUACUUGCUGAAUUGCACGAUUAUUACUUACUUGGAAUAAGUAUCUUUCCUUACGUUGAAUCUUCCCUAUUUUCCCCUGGGUUCCACAUGCAUGAACAUCUUGUAUUUGUAUCAUAUAGAGUUCAAAUAUCUUGGCUGAAUGUUAAAUUGUCUUCACUGUAUGUGCUUUAAUUUGUGAUGUCAAAAUGCUUAUCGAGUCAUAUAAGCUCCUAAGUAGUACGUUCAAGUCACGUUUGAUUCCCAUGUCAUUUUUAUUAUCGUAAGUUCAUAUUCAUAUGUCUUCUACUACUUGUUUGUAGUUCCAAAUCUAAAUAAGGGUUAUGACCACCAAAACAAUUAUCACAGACAAGUUCUAAAAAUCUAAAAGAACAAUCUCAAAAGAGUUAUGAUUAUCUAAAGAACAAUCCUAAGAGAGUUAUGAACUAGUAAACAACAAUCCCAAAGAUAAAAGAAUCUAAGUGGAGUGAUCAAUAUAAUUAUGGGUGGUAUCUCAGGGGAAAAAAAGCCUAGCAUGGGCUGAUCUCAAUUGGUAUGGAAGGGUGGCUGCUCAGGGGAAAAAGCCUAGCAUGGGCUGAUCCCGAUUGGUAUGGAAGGGUGGACACUCAGGGGCAAAAUCCUAGCAUAGGCCAAUCCCAAUUUGUAGAAUUAUGAGGAUAAUAUCCCAGGGGUUAAAAUGUGUAGCAUGGGUCAUCCUCUUCUACCGUUGGUCAAUUGUUAUUUGUAUCAUAUGUUAUAUAAAGAUUAUAAAGUACAGAGAAGCAAAGAAAAGAAUGUAACAUGCACGAUUCCACAAGUACAAAGAAAAGGUUGUCUCUAAUCCUUAUCUAUUGGUAUUUGGUUUUACUUGAGCUCUCAUGUUACAUAUGGUUGUAUUAUGUCUUACAUAUUCAGUACAUUCUUUCGUACUGAAGUCCCUUAUUGGGGACGCUGCAUUUCAUGCUGCAGGUACAAGUACUCAACUUGUAGAUUUUUUCAAUAGAAGCACAUUAUACUCAGCGGAUGUUGGUGAGCUCCAGGUUGAUUCGGGGCUUUUCCGAGUCUUUACUGUUUGUAUUUUCAUAGUGAUACCGUCAUGGAUUCCAGUAAAGGCUUUUUAGACAUUGUAAAGUUAUCAUCUGUAUUCAUAGUUUCACUUGUCACAUAUAGUGGUUCAGCUAGUAAAAAUGUGUUGUAUUUGAAGCUUCAUCAAUAAUAUCCAUAGUAGUCUAAUUUAUCAUCAUAGAUUACUUGUAAAUCAUGUGUUCAUAAGGUAGUUUUCCGCCUCACUCAGGGUUGGGGCUGACAAAUACUAUCUUGAAAUUUAUGUGCAAUGUACAAUGAAGUGCAUAACUUUUUCUUUUUAGUAGGCCAGCGACGAAAUGGGUGAUACUUCCCUUCAGAACUAAGUCACCAUAAUUCAUUUUAUUGCUUGCAUAUAUAUCCCAUUAUCAUAGUAUUAUUGUUUUACAUAUAACUCUAAUUUUGUGCUUUUCAUUAGGCUUAUGUUCGAGUUGCACAUUGUUGUCUUGCACAGCUAAGAGUAAGUUUUCCUAUUUGUCCCUUUUCUCAUUUUGUUUGAUACCACCAUAUACACACACAGACUUCUCUUUCUUUAGUUCUUUGUCCGUUCGAAGCUGGGAGAAAACCAAAGCAAAUCAAACCUCCAUAUUAAUUUCAUCCUUCUUUUCCACUGUAAACAAAUUAUAGGGUUUUUGCAGUGGAUUUUGAACAAACUUUUCUCAUCUAUGUUUUCUGUUUCUUGGAGUUACCUCAGUAUCGACAAGAAAUAGAAGAUUGAGGACUUUUUCUUUUAAAAACUUAACGGGUUCUCCUUUUCAACAUUGUAUUAUAUUAAGUUUAUGCGGAUCAAAUCCAUGUGUUAUUCAUUAUUCAUCUGGUAAGAAUGAAAACUAAUAUAUAUAUAUAUAUGUAUAUGUAUAUAUGUGUGUGUGUGUGUGUGUUUGUGUGUGUGUGUGUGUUUGUGUUUGUUUGUGUGUGUGUGUGUGUCUGUGUGUGUUAUUAGAUUUAAAUACUUGGGAAGUUUACAUAUUUACAAAUUCUUGUCUGUUUUUUAUGUAGGGAAAACUUGAAAAGGUUCAUUUUAGUAGAGUUUCUUCUUAUUUUGGGGGAUUUCUAGGGUCUUCUAAGAUAUACUGAUGAUUUAGCUUUCAAGCAAAGGAAUUUACCCCAAAUGGGAAAAGGUCACCCAUACAUGAGGCAAUACCACUGUGAAUGGGACUUUCUGUAAAUGGCGGAUGCCCUUCUUUAUUGCGCCACAAAUUUUUUUCCAUUAUAAAAAAUCAGCAGCCCUUGUGUCACACCCCAACCUUAGGUGAGGCAGACAAGUACCCUAUGAACAAAUUUUUUUACAAGUAACCUAUGAUCAGAAAGUAAACUACUUAUGAAAUACAUAUUGACUAGCUGAACCAAUACAUGUGACAAGUGAAACUAUUAAUUUAGAUGACAGCUUUACAAUAUCUACAAACACUCUAUUAGAAUCCAUUCUACGAAACUACACACAGUAAAGACAAAACAAAGCCCCAAAUCAACCUGGAGCUCACCAAAAGUGACUGAGUAUCAUGUGCUUCUAUUGGGCAGAUCUUCUUUUGAAUACUUGUACCUGCAACAUGAAAUGCAGCAUCCCAAAUAAGUGAUGUCAGUAUAAAAUAGUGUAACGAAUAUGUAAGGCAUAAUACAACCAUAUGUGACAUGAGAGCUCAAGUGAAACCAAAUGUCAAUAGAUAAGGAUUAGAGACCACAUUUACUUAUACUUGUGGAAUUAUGUAUGUUAUAUUCUUUUGUUUACUCUUCUGGGCAUUAUAAAUUUUGUAAGCCAUAUGAUACAAGUGACCAACUGAUCAGUGGUAGGAGAGGAUGACCCAUGCUAGGUAAUUUAACCCCUGGGAUGAUGUCAUCAUAAUUCUACAAAUUGGGAUCGGCCCAUGCUAGGAUUUUGCCCUUGAGAUACCACCCUACUAUACCAAUUGGGAUCCACCCAUCCUAGGCUUUUCACCUGGACUGCCACACAUAAUUUUUAAAUUGCUUUACAUAGGUUAUUUUAUUUUUUUAAUCCUUGAGAUUGUUGAUUUGAUGUUCAUAACUCUUUUGAGACUGUACAUUGGAUUAUUAUAACUCUUUAAGAUUGUUCUUUUGUUAAUAAUAACUCAUUCGUGAUUGAUCUUUUGGUAUUCAUAAUCAUUGUUGAGAUUUUGAACUACAAACCAGUAGUAGAAGACAUACAAAUAUGGACUUACGAUUAUAACAAUGACGUGGGAAGCAAAUGUGACACCUACGUAAUACUUCUUCUAUGACUCAGUAUGAAUUUUUGACAUCUCAAAUUGAAGCACAUACGAAGUGAAGACAUAUUAUAUUCAACCAAGAGAUUUUAACUCUAUGAUAGCCAAAUAUUCAGCAACUAAUAUAAAUGACAAGGCAUACAUGAAUGCGGAACCAAGGAAGAAUGUGGACAAAUUCAACUUAAGGACGGAUACAUAUUUGAGGAAAGCAACCCUUGAAUCAUCCAUGGAGAUAGAAGCUUUGGUGUACUCAUCAGAUAUAUCCAAUGGCAGCAACUUCUAUUCUUGGGAAGCUGAUCAUGGAUGCCCUUAUAUGUAUUCGGAAUUGAGAAAAUCCUCUGGAUAUUGGAUCACAUGGGAAAAACACUUACUACUUCUUAAGGCACCAGAUAUUGUAAAGGAUGGGGAGUGACAGAGCUUUGUUGAUGGCUGUCAUACAGGGUGAACUUGAGGAUUAUCAAACUUCAAAAAAGGACUUCAAGAACUUCAAAGAUAGUAGUGUGCUUCUGCGAUACAAUGGUUGCUGAAUGUGAAAAUGGACCACUUUUUUAACCUGAUUCUGUCCAAAUCAUCCCCAAUCUUGUAAUUUCAUCAUUUCAGGGGGGGGGGACUUUUUGAUACUCUAAAUCUAGAGGAUCUCCAUCAAAGAAAUGGCUUGGAGUAACACAAAAUUCCUAAAAUACAUACAUUUAGAGGUUAAAAAUGCUUUGAGAUUUUCCUUUUGGGUCUCACAGAACCCUCUUAUGCUCUGCUUGUGGUCAGAUCAUUGUUUUUCAGUCUGUUACCUCAAUCGCUGCUCAAAAAGAGAUGUUAGGGUGAAGUUGAGGAUUAUCAAACAUCAAAAAUGGGCUUCAAGAACAUCAAAGAUAACCUCUUCGAUUUCUGGGAUACACUGGUUGUUGAAUGUGAAAAUGGACCACUUUUUGAAUCUGAUUCUUUCCCAAACAUCCCCUAUAUCAGCCUCACACUGUUUCAGGGGAUUUUUUGACACUCAAAAUCUUGAUAAUCUCCAUCAGAUAAAUAAAUUGGAGAAACAAAAAAUUCCCAGAAAUACAUAAAUUAAGAACUUAAAAAGCUUUUUGAUUUUCCGUUAGGGUCUGGUCGGAACCAGGUGAAGCUGUGCUUGUGGUCAGGUCAUUGUUCUUCAAUCCGUUGCAUCAUUCGCUGCUCGGAAAGAGAUCAUGAAGAGAUCAAUUCUUGAUUUGUAUUCAAUAAUAUCAGUGUGUGAGGAGAAGCUAAAGUUCUAAAAGAAUUGAAGUUAUAAGGAGAAGUUGCAGAAAUUGAGGUAAGGUGACUAUUCCAUUUUUGUCUUCCUUAUGUAUGUUUGAGUGAGGAAUUAGUAGUGUGCUGUCAUGAGGAUCUCAAGGGGGUGGUGAGUUCAAUACUUGGUUGUAUGAUAAAGAAUAUUUGGGGCUGUUCUAUGUGUAUUACUGUUGGCGUAGCUUUGUUGAUUUUGUGGAAAGGAUAUAUAAUGUAUGUGAUGGACAGAGAAUGAGGGUGUGGUGAUACUCAUUAUGUUAAGUGCUUUAUGGGAUCAUUAUCUUUCAAAGUUAGCUACUAUUUUACGAAGCUCACGAUGUGAUAGCUGCUAACUUAUGACUGAAAUUAUAGAUUACAACCAAAAAGGGGAGGAUGAAACGUAAUUGUAUAUCAGUCUGAGGAUAGAGUAUGUAAGGCUAUUCGAUUCUAUAUCCCUUUGGCAUGAAAUCUGAUACCAGCGAAUAAUAUCAAUUAAGUGAAUCUCAAAAGUUGUGUCCCUAGAAAAGGAAACAUAGUGUCAGCGUAUUAUCUCCAAAUAGAUAACAAAAUUUCCCCCACUCCGUAGUGCAUAGAACUACUUCAUUAUACGUUCACUAAUUUAUACUUGUGUAAUUAUCCCCCUAUUUGCUGGUAUAGAAAUGGUAAUUACAAAAACAAGUCUGCUGAAUUCUCUUUUUUGUUUUUUGAAUUCAAUUGUGUCAUUAAGCUCUUAACGUAAUGUGUUGAUGUUACAUAGCUCCUCCUGUCAAUGUUAUUUCCUUGAAGUAUUA